UAUAUAUAUAUAAAAGAAAAGAAGCAGCCAUGAUUUAUUUAUUUAAUUUGUUUCUGUGUAAUAUAUUUGGACUUAUUUAAUGUGUGACAAAAUACUCAACCUUAGUAUAUGAAUUUCUUAUUUUCCCCAGAUAAAUCAUACAGACAUAUAGUUUUAAACGUGUGACGAGAGUAUAAAACAGGAAGCAGAUUUCUCCUGAAUUCAAACGUCAUCGUGUAAACAUGUCGUAAAGAAAUCUCGGUCUUUGGAGGAGUUUUUAACCGAACUGAUGCGAUGUCUGUAAAACCACCGGUCCAGAUCGGUGCUGCUAUUUACGCUCGUUUAGCACUCCGUCAUCGUUCGUCUCUUCCGUGUAGAAGUUUCUGAAAAACGGAAUCUCUUUUUUGCGCAGAGCAGAUGGGCUGUCGAACUCCACCACCUUCCCAGCAUGCAUCACCAGAACUCUGUCAGAGUCCAUGAUUGUAUUGAGUCUGUUGGAGAGAGAGAGAGAGAGAGAGAGAGAGAGAGAGCGCACAAGGAUUACCUUAAGCACACUAUCCAGCAGUCUUCUAUGGAUGACCGUGGCGGCGUGGAUUGCUCCGUAAGCAAACAGGAAAGCACGAGCAGCGGUGAAGACGGUAUUGGCUACAGCUAGAGAACCGUACACAGUCAUGUAGAACUUCAGCUCUGAGCUCAUAUUGCCAAACGAGUCUCUGACUGGUAAAGGAAACCUUAAAUGAAAUGUUUCAGAAA
Ictalurus punctatus (channel catfish) is the source of this 732-nucleotide long non-coding RNA. The record is from Ensembl. NCBI's taxonomy places the organism in Eukaryota, Metazoa, Chordata, Actinopteri, Siluriformes, Ictaluridae.